GAAUAUGGGGGGACCAUCCUCCAAGGCUAAAUACUCCUGACUGACCGAUAGUGAACCAGUACCGUGAGGGAAAGGCGAAAAGAACCCCGGCGAGGGGAGUGAAAAAGAACCUGAAACCGUGUACGUACAAGCAGUGGGAGCACCUUCGGGUGUGACUGCGUACCUUUUGUAUAAUGGGUCAGCGACUUAUAUUCUGUAGCAAGGUUAACCGUAUAGGGGAGCCGCAGGGAAACCGAGUCUUAACUGGGCGUUAAGUUGCAGGGUAUAGACCCGAAACCCGGUGAUCUAGCCAUGGGCAGGUUGAAGGUUGGGUAACACUAACUGGAGGACCGAACCGACUAAUGUUGAAAAAUUAGCGGAUGACUUGUGGCUGGGGGUGAAAGGCCAAUCAAACCGGGAGAUAGCUGGUUCUCCCCGAAAGCUAUUUAGGUAGCGCCUCGUGAACUCAUCUUCGGGGGUAGAGCACUGUUUCGGCUAGGGGGUCAUCCCGACUUACCAACCCGAUGCAAACUACGAAUACCGAAGAAUGUUAUCACGGGAGACACACGGCGGGUGCUAACGUCCGUCGUGAAGAGGGAAACAACCCAGACCGCCAGCUAAGGUCCCAAAGUCAUGGUUAAGUGGGAAACGAUGUGGGAAGGCACAGACAGCCAGGAUGUUGGCUUAGAAGCAGCCAUCAUUUAAAGAAAGCGUAAUAGCUCACUGGUCGAGUCGGCCUGCGCGGAAGAUGUAACGGGGCUAAACCAUGCACCGAAGCUGCGGCAGCGACACUAUGUGUUGUUGGGUAGGGGAGCGUUCUGUAAGCCUGCGAAGGUGUGCUGUGAGGCA
This 828-nucleotide ribosomal RNA is filed under the name Pseudomonas aeruginosa. RNAcentral describes it as "partial 23S ribosomal RNA". It matches the Rfam family "Bacterial large subunit ribosomal RNA", at positions 440 to 1270 of the family's 2925-position model. The record is from RNAcentral. Lineage: Bacteria; Pseudomonadati; Pseudomonadota; Gammaproteobacteria; Pseudomonadales; Pseudomonadaceae.